GAGCGGUGUGAUUGAUUCUGCGGCAUCCUCAACCACCCAGGGCAGCCCCAGGACCCCCCCAGUGACCCAGGGUGCAUCGUCCAGCUGGCUCCUCGCUCUUGCUGCAUCCCCAACCACCUUGGUACAAACAGGCAGCCCCAGCAUGCCCACAGCAACCCAAAGGGUCACAAGUGCAGGUACACCCACUCUGCACGCAGCAUCCAGGCGCUGCGAGAAAAAGUGUGCAACGACGCAGACAGCAGGCUUGCAAAGAAA
Molecule: long non-coding RNA, 255 nt
Organism: Ixodes scapularis (black-legged tick)
Lineage: Eukaryota; Metazoa; Arthropoda; Arachnida; Ixodida; Ixodidae
Exons: 3
Source: RefSeq, a predicted model, not a curated record